AGUACCUUCGGUCGGUCCUACGGAAGGUAGUAACGGACGUACGUACGGCGGGGCCCGGGUAACUUAAACUACUAGCGUAAGUCGAACGGUGCAGCAAUGCAUAGUGGCAGACGGGUGCGUAACGCGUAUGCAACCUACCUUUUAUCGGGGGACAACAUUUCGAAAGAAGUGCUAAUACCGCGUAAGAUAGUAGUGGGACAUCCCACAGCUAUUAAACUUUCGGGGAUAGAAGAUGGGCAUGCGUCUGAUUAGCUAGUUGGCGGGGUAACGGCCCACCAAGGCGACGAUCAGUAGGGGAACUGAGAGGUUGAUCCCCCACACUGGCACUGAGAUACGGGCCAGACUCCUACGGGAGGCAGCAGUAGGGAAUAUUGGGCAAUGGACGGAGGUCUGACCCAGCCACGCCGCGUGCAGGAGGAAGGCGCUCUGCGUUGUAAACUGCUUUAGCAGGGGAAGAAAAGACUCAUGCGUGAGGAAUUGACGGUACCCUGAGAAUAAGCACCGGCUAACUACGUG
Molecule: ribosomal RNA, 516 nt
Filed under: uncultured bacterium
Lineage: Bacteria
Description: bacterial SSU rRNA
Rfam family: Bacterial small subunit ribosomal RNA
Source: RNAcentral